UACGAAGGGGGCUAGCGUUGCUCGGAAUCACUGGGCGUAAAGGGCGCGUAGGCGGCCAUUCAAGUCAGAGGUGAAAGCCCAAGGCUCAACCUUGGAAUUGCCUUUGAUACUGUUUGGCUUGAGACCGGAAGAGGUUAGUGGAACUGCGAGUGUAGAGGUGAAAUUCGUAGAUAUUCGCAAGAACACCGGUGGCGAAGGCGGCUUUCUGGACAGAUACCGGACGCUGAGGCACGAAAGCUAGGGGAGCAAA
Molecule: ribosomal RNA, 250 nt
Filed under: uncultured bacterium
Lineage: Bacteria
Description: partial 16S ribosomal RNA
Rfam family: Bacterial small subunit ribosomal RNA
Source: RNAcentral